UUCAGAACCUGAAUAUGUAUUUCAUUGUAUAAUUUACUGUUAGGUCACCCUCGUCGAUUGAAAGUGAAACCUGAUUCCGAAAUUUUAGUUAUAGAAAAUGGAACAGCUUUCCCAUUUCAGGUGGAAGUUUUAGAUGAAUCAGACAACAUAACAGCACAACCAAAAUUGAUUGUUCAUUGUAAGUUUUCAGGUGCUCCAAACCUUCCAGUCUAUGUUGUAGAUUGCAGUAGUUCUGGAACCAGUAUUUUAACAGGAUCUGCAAUUCAAGUUCAGAAUAUUAAAAAAGACCAGACGCUUAAAGCAAGAAUUGAAAUACCUAGUUGUAAAGAUGUGGCACCUGUGGAGAAGACUAUUAAGUUGCUUCCCAGUAGCCAUGUUGCAAGACUACAAAUAUUCAGUGUAGAAGGACAAAAGGCAAUUCAGAUCAAACAUCAGGAUGAGGUUAAUUGGAUAGCGGGUGAUAUUAUGCAUAAUCUUAUUUUUCAAAUGUAUGAUGAAGGAGAAAGAGAAAUCAAUAUAACAUCAGCUUUAGCAGAAAAAAUUAAAGUUAAUUGGACUCCUGAGAUUAACAAAGAACACUUGCUACAGGGUCUACUUCCUGAUGUGCAAGUACCAACAUCUGUAAAAGAUAUGCGCUAUUGCCAGGUUUCAUUCCAAGAUGAUCAUGUGUCUUUGGAAAGUGCAUUUACAGUAAGACCACUUCCUGAUGAACCUAAACAUUUAAAAUGU
This 729-nucleotide small RNA is filed under the name Pongo abelii (Sumatran orangutan). RNAcentral describes it as "retained intron". Lineage: Eukaryota; Metazoa; Chordata; Mammalia; Primates; Hominidae. The record is from RNAcentral.